GUCUCAGCAGCCGCGGUAAAACCAGCACCUCAAGUGGUCAGGAUGAUUAUUGGGCCUAAAGCAUCCGUAGCCGGCUCUGUAAGUUUUCGGUUAAAUCCAUGUCCUCAACACAUGGGCUGCCGAAAAUACUGCAUAGCUAGGGAGUGGGAGAGGUAGACGGUACUCAGUAGGAAGGGGUAAAAUCCUUUGAUCUAUUGAUGACCACCUGUGGCGAAGGCGGUCUACCAGAACACGUUCGACGGUGAGGGAUGAAAGCUGGGGGAGCAAACCGGAUUAGAUACCCGGGUAGUCCCAGCUGUAAACGAUGCAGACUCGAUGAUGCAUUGGCAUAUAGCCAGUGCAGUGUCGCAAGGAAGCCGUUAAGUCUGCCGCCUGGGAAGUACGUACGCAAGUAUGAAACUUAAAGGAAUUGGCGGGGGAGCACCACAAGGGGUGAAGCCUGCGGUUCAAUUGGAGUCAACGCCAGAAAUCUUACCCGGAGAGACAGCAGAAUGAAGGUCAAGCUGAAGACUUUACCAGACAAGCUGAGAGGUGGUGCAUGGCCGUCGCCAGCUCGUGCCGUGAGAUGUCCUGUUAAGUCAGGUAACGAGCGG
This 593-nucleotide ribosomal RNA is filed under the name uncultured archaeon. RNAcentral describes it as "bacterial SSU rRNA". It matches the Rfam family "Archaeal small subunit ribosomal RNA", at positions 455 to 1048 of the family's 1478-position model. The record is from RNAcentral.